UUAUUUACUUACUUAUUAUAUGUUAUAAUUUGUACAUAAUAUAUUUUUCCCAUAUAUUUUAAACUCAAAUAAAGUAAAUUGUUAAGCUAUACAUGUGUGAAAAAUACCAUUAAACUCUGGUAAGUAAGUGUCAAAAUCUUAAAUCAAUGAAAAAGGAUACACAAAAAAUCAAUGGUAAAUGAAUAUUUUCCUCAAAGUUCGAAGUCAAACUCAGUGCUACUAGGAUCUUUUCAAUAAAAAGCUCAUAUUGAUUUUUCAAUGUAUAAAUUUUCUUUCUCUCGUAUAAAUAAGCGCGAGCCCACACAACACACACCCACACACAUUUUUUUCUCUUUUAUUUAUAUCUUAUGGGUAAUCUCUUCUCCACUAAGUGACUAAAAUGACUCCUAUAACAAGCUUUGGGUCGAUAACUCCUCAGGUUUAAUUGCUCAAGUUAAAUAGCUCCUAAAAGGAGCAUAAAAUAUUGGGCCUUUUUUUUCGAGGGAAUAUACUUGAGCUUAGGUCUAUUAAAAUAAACUCAAUUUAUGUUCAAAGUCACCUUAUCAACAUAUGACUAUCAUCUCAAAUCUCAUAUACACAGUCAAGGCCUACUCACAAUAUCAUAAUCUGUGCAAUACAGAUGGUACAUAAAGAAACAUAUACUAAGUACUCCAUAAAAACCUAAACAAGCAAUGAAAAAUAUUCUACAGUACAUCAAUUAAACUCAUACUUGGUAUGAAAAUCACUUUCAAGUUUACUUUAUAUCAUGCUAUAGUUUUCAAAGCUUUUCCCUUUUUUUAAAUGAAUGCACCAAUCACACAAAAUAAAAUAAAAAAUUCAACACAAAAAAAUAAAAAUAAAAAAUAAAAAUGCAUGUAACAAUGCAAACAUAAUGAAGAUGCACAUAUAUGAACCUACCUCCUAUAAAGCACAUAUAAAAUUGAGAUGUAUGUAAUAAUGAAUGAAUCACAAUGAAUAAGCACAAGCAUGUACCAGAAAUAUCUAAUCAAUUAGGCAUACAAACACUCUUAUCUUUAAGAGCACCAUGACCUAUUUCAUGAUUUUUCAUAUCACUCUUCUUCACCCAAACAUGCCAAGUGGAAGAAUUAAUCCUAGUCAACUUUGUCAUUAACUCGGUCAAUUGACUAACUUGACUAGGAAGUCAAUUCGGCUAUCCAAAUCCUAAUUUUUAUUUCUAUUGAAGUUUUGAUUUCUAUUUCUAUUCAAAAGUUUAUGACACCUAUGCCUUAUAUGUCCUAACUCGCUACAACUGAACAAGUAGGGGUAAACCUAGGAUCAAUGUUUUGUGGUCGAUGAUUUCUAUUCCUAGGUCAGUAUGUUCUAAGCUGUCUAAUAGGCAUCUAUCCUACGAUUCCCUUAUUUUUGGGUUUAGGGUUAUAAAUGUACUUAGGCUAGUCAAUGACAGGGACAAAAAUGGUCUUGGAAGUACUAGCAGUAUUAUGAUUAUUCUACUUAUAUCCUAGACCUCCUUCCUUAUUACCAGCAGGCUGGCUCAUCCUUAAGAUACUAUCAAGCUUAAAAGAACCACUAGAGAUAAUGCAAGGAGUUUAGUAAUGGAAUCCUCAAGAUCGCUCAUAAAGGUGUUAACAUCAUUUUCUAAAGACUCAUUCACAAUGCUCAACUCACCAAGUCUUCUAGAGGACUUGUCUAGAUCACUCACAAGAUUCUUGACAUGAGUAUCUAAGGAUUUAUUCAUAGAGUUCAACUUACUUAGGGAUAAGGUAGAUUCCUGAAGGAUAGCUAUAAAUUUUUCCUUUUCUAGCUCAAGGUCGUUGAUCUUUCAUACGUAAGGGUUUAUUGGCAAUCAAUAUCCUAAGACUCUCUUCAUAUAAUUUAUCAUAGGCCUUCUGUAUGUAUUCCUCUUUUUCAAGAUCCUCUUCAGAUUUUUCUUCACUCUCUACAUCCUUAACCUUUUCACUCUCUUUAUGAGAUUCACUUCUAAUCCUAGCAGUGAAGGCCAUAUUUUUC
RNAcentral lists this long non-coding RNA (1968 nucleotides) under Olea europaea subsp. europaea. The record is from RNAcentral. Lineage: Eukaryota; Viridiplantae; Streptophyta; Magnoliopsida; Lamiales; Oleaceae.